RNAcentral lists this non-coding RNA (157 nucleotides) under Phocaeicola barnesiae. Lineage: Bacteria; Pseudomonadati; Bacteroidota; Bacteroidia; Bacteroidales; Bacteroidaceae. The record is from RNAcentral.
AUCUUCAUGGAUUAAAAGGGAAUCGGGUGAAAAUCCCGGACAGUCCCGCUGCUGUGAAACUCCAUCCAACGUCUCGACAAAUACUCUUUACCACUGGUUCGGCAGAACCGGGAAGGUGUCAAGACGGGAGUCAGUCAGAAGACCUGCCGUUCAUUAA